UUUGGUGGCGACCGGCGCACGGGUGAGUAACACGUAUCCAACCUGCCGAUGACUCGGGGAUAGCCUUUCGAAAGAAAGAUUAAUACCCGAUGGCAUAGUUCUUCCGCAUGGUAGAACUAUUAAAGAAUUUCGGUCAUCGAUGGGGAUGCGUUCCAUUAGGUUGUUGGCGGGGUAACGGCCCACCAAGCCUUCGAUGGAUAGGGGUUCUGAGAGGAAGGUCCCCCACAUUGGUACUGAGACACGGACCAA
RNAcentral lists this ribosomal RNA (249 nucleotides) under uncultured bacterium. RNAcentral describes it as "partial 16S ribosomal RNA". It matches the Rfam family "Bacterial small subunit ribosomal RNA", at positions 84 to 334 of the family's 1533-position model. The record is from RNAcentral.